CGAACCUUCGGGUUAGUGGCGGACGGGUGAGUAACGCGUGAGAAUCUGCCCUCAGGAGGGGGAUAACAGUUGGAAACGACUGCUAAUACCCCAUAUGCCGAAAGGUAAAACUAAUUUCGCCUGGGGAUGAGCUCGCGUCUGAUUAGCUUGUUGGUGGGGUAACGGCCUACCAAGGCUUCGAUCAGUAGCUGGUCUGAGAGGACGAUCAGCCACACUGGGACUGAGACACGGCCCAGACUCCUACGGGAGGCAGCAGUGGAGAAUUUUCCGCAGUGGGCGCAAGCCUGACGGAGCAACGCCGCGUGAGGGAUGAAGGCCUUUGGGCUGUAAACCUCUUUUCUCAAGGAAGAAGAUCUGACGGUACUUGAGGAAUAAGCCACGGCUAAUUCCGUGCCAGCAGCCGCGGUAAUACGGGAGUGGCAAGCGUUAUCCGGAAUUAUUGGGCGUAAAGCGUCCGCAGGCGGCCGUUUAAGUCUGUUGUUAAAUCGUAGAGCUCAACUCUAUCACGGCAAUGGAAACUGUUCGGCUUGAGUAUGGUAGGGGCAGAGGGAAUUUCCGGUGUAGCGGUGAAAUGCGUAGAUAUCGGGAAGAACACCAGUGGCAAAAGCGCUCUGCUGGGCCAUUACUGACGCUCAUGGACGAAAGCCAGGGGAGCGAAAGGGAUUAGAUACCCCUGUAGUCCUGGCCGUAAACGAUGAACACUAGAUAUUGGGGGAAUCGACCCCUUCGGUGUCGUAGCUAACGCGUUAAGUGUUCCGCCUGGGGAGUACGCACGCAAGUGUGAAACUCAAAGGAAUUGACGGGGGCCCGCACAAGCGGUGGAGUAUGUGGUUU
Molecule: ribosomal RNA, 834 nt
Filed under: uncultured bacterium
Lineage: Bacteria
Description: bacterial SSU rRNA
Rfam family: Bacterial small subunit ribosomal RNA
Source: RNAcentral